GCAUUCCUUUAGAAUAGGCGCAGCUACUUCCGCUGCUAAUCAAGGUGUCUCAUCCUCAUCCCUGCAACAACUCGGACGGUGGUCCUCCUCCGCUUUCUCAUCCUACAUUCGCCCUGACCUCAAUGCCGUGCUGGCUAUCCAAAGGUCUCUCCAACCUUAAAUUGAUUUCCACUGCAUCCCACAAGCUGUCUUCCAGGUGUCAACGCGCAACCCUCCUCCACC
Long non-coding RNA from Gymnodraco acuticeps, 222 nucleotides. RefSeq lists it as uncharacterized. The transcript has 3 exons. Lineage: Eukaryota; Metazoa; Chordata; Actinopteri; Perciformes; Bathydraconidae. The record is from RefSeq and is a predicted model, not a curated record.